Molecule: small nuclear RNA, 331 nt
Filed under: Vulpes vulpes (red fox)
Lineage: Eukaryota; Metazoa; Chordata; Mammalia; Carnivora; Canidae
Description: 7SK RNA (ENSVVUG00000020247.1)
Rfam family: 7SK RNA
About the family: 7SK was discovered as an abundant small nuclear RNA in the mid-70s but a possible function has only recently been suggested. Two independent studies have found that 7SK RNA binds the CDK9/cyclin T complex (known as elongation factor P-TEFb). P-TEFb activates transcription by phosphorylating the C-terminal domain of RNA polymerase II.
Source: Rfam by way of RNAcentral
GGAUGUGAGGGCAAUCUGGCUGCAACAUCUGUCACCCCACUGAUUGCCAGGUUUGAUUCGGCUGAUCCAGCCAGCUAGGUGGGUGUCCUCUUUCUCCUGCACUGCUCCAUGUGCGUUCCUCCUGAAGCUGUGCAAUCAGUCUGAAGAGGAUGACCUUCUUUGAUAGGGGAGGACAGUUCUUUGGUCAAGGGUAUAGGAGUAGCUGUGCUCCCUGCUAGAACGUCCAAAUGACCUCUCCAGUUCCAUUGGUAGGAGAAUGAAGGGUAGUCAAGCUUCCAAGACUUCAGACACAACCAAAUGAGGCACUGCAUAUGGCAGCCUGCCUUUCUUA